AUAAGCUGGACCGUUCAAAAUAAUUAAAACUAAAUCAAACUUUUGAAAGUCUUAAUGAUCACCAAAUCAUAUGAAAUUUUGUGGAGGUGAUCUACUCAUAUAGACCUAAGAUAUGAACGGUGGAGAUGUAAAAAUUCAAUUGGGAAGUGGUGUAAUGCCCUAUCCCUAGAAAGUGGCCAAAAAUAGGGAUCCCUCAAUGGAAGGGGGCUGUAUAUAUAUAUAUAUCACUGCACUACAUAUUGUCUCUUGAAUUUUUGGUUUCAUAUAUCAAUGUUGAAUGUUCGCUGCUUAUGAUCAUCUAAAUCCUAAUUAUCUUCUACUUAAUUCGCCACUUAUUUCUAUGUUUUUGUAUUAGAACAGUGCUGUUAUCUCUUUUACAACCCUACCACGCAUUUGUUCAUGUUUUCUUGUUAUUCGACAGACCUUUUUUCUUCACUAUUAUCAUUGAUGAUAUCGAACAAGAAUCCAUCAUUAUUUUCCCAAAUGGCUGGAUAUGCAACAAGGCAUCUAGGUUCCCUGUCUCGUAGUAGUUCAUUAUUGCCUGAAAGAAAUUUAUACAUGGACAG
RNAcentral lists this long non-coding RNA (566 nucleotides) under Fragaria vesca (wild strawberry). RNAcentral describes it as "long non-coding RNA (FVES_LNC003915)". The record is from RNAcentral. Lineage: Eukaryota; Viridiplantae; Streptophyta; Magnoliopsida; Rosales; Rosaceae.